Molecule: ribosomal RNA, 406 nt
Filed under: uncultured bacterium
Lineage: Bacteria
Description: partial 16S ribosomal RNA
Rfam family: Bacterial small subunit ribosomal RNA
Source: RNAcentral
AUUGAACGCUGGCGGCAGGCCUAACACAUGCAAGUCGAGCGAGCGGCGGACGGGUGAGUAAUGUAUGGGGAUCUGCCCGAUAGAGGGGGAUAACUACUGGAAACGGUGGAUAAUACCGCAUACUAUCGGAUGAACCCAUAUGGGCUUAGCUAGUAGGUGGGGUAAAGGCUCACCUAGGCGACGACCUCUAGCUGGUCUGAAAGGAUGAUCAGCCACACUGGAACGGAGACACGGUGCAGACUCCGACGGGAGGCAGCAGUGGGGAAUAUUUCGCAAUGGGCGCGAGCCUGAUGCAGCCAUGCCGCGUGUGUGAAGAAGGCCUUCGGGUUGUAAAGCACUUUCAGCGAUGAGGCGGUACUCGCAGAAUAAGCACCGGCUAACUCCGUGCCAGCCGCCGCGGUAAUAC